This is a long non-coding RNA of Galleria mellonella (greater wax moth), 6418 nucleotides long. RefSeq lists it as uncharacterized. The record is from RefSeq and is a predicted model, not a curated record. The transcript is spliced from 2 exons. NCBI's taxonomy places the organism in Eukaryota, Metazoa, Arthropoda, Insecta, Lepidoptera, Pyralidae.
CAUUGUAUUUAAAAUAUUAAAUAAUGAUGUUAAAUAUUAUGCAGAAAGAAUAAAUAAUUUUUAACCGAAGGAGAUAUAAUUAUAGAGAACUGGCGUUUACUCGGAACUUUGUUUGCAUGCGCGUGACCAGGAUAUGUUUACUGACCAGAAUAAAAAGUAGUAUAUAUAUUUCUCCAUUUCGUAUAGAACGUGUAUACCAAAUUUCAUAAUAAUUGGUUAAGCCGUUAAACACCUAUGAGGUAACAAACUAACAAAUUCACUUUUACAUUCAUUUUUAUUAGUAGAGAUACGAGUAUAUCUACAAUCAAUGGAUUUUAUAAUCGUGCAAUCCUUCCUAUUCGGUUAAUUCGCGAUAUCCUGUAAAAUAUAUCGAUAUAAUUUCAAAGAUUAAUUACAAAUUGUCCUUGUUUAUUGUCUAUAUAUAUACAAGUUAUAUAUAAUCACACCAAUUGCCUGGUCCUCGAGCUACGAUACCUUAUACCAUGAGGAACCCGGCAAAGAUUCUCUAGGGCCACAACCUAAAACACCCAACCCAAAUCAAUUUAGAAAAUUUAGUUUUCUAAAAUAGGUUAACCGAAAAUCGAACCUUCGACCUCUUAUACGCAAAGCAUUAUGCCCACCACUGCGUUAUGAAGGUGGUCAAAUCAAGGGGCACGGCACUGACACCAUAUCGAGCAAAGUUGUACUAUUCUUUUUCGAAGCGACUUUCGGCACUUUUGACUCCAUGUAACUUUAUUGUGGAUAAAGUAGGAAGUUAAAAUUUUUAAUGAUUAAGAGAAUAUAUAGUACUAUACCUGGCUAUAUUGCCUAUUAAUAAUAAAUAAUAAUUAUACAUUUUACUUUAUGAAUUAUCGCUAGUGACAAUUCAUUAAUUUUGUCACUGACACUCACCGAUCGUCAAAAUUCUAAGGUACUUCUAGCAAUCUCACACACUGUAAAUUGUGAAUUUUAGCUAGUGUUUGCCUAUAAAGAAAGAAAAAAUUAAAAAUAAUCAUUCUUAAAAAUCAUGUUAAAUAUAAGCACUUAUUCAACAACUGUGUUAUAAAUUAUUAUCUAAUCAAUUACCAAUCAAUAUUUAUAGUGACCAUAUCAGUAUUAUCAAUCUUCUAUAAUAAUUAUAUUGCCACCAAGAAAGGUUCUUGAAUAGGUCGCUACUCUAAAAUAUUCUUUCCCCAUUUGUUAUCAGUUCUUCAAGAUAUACAACCAGUCCAUUGCCACUUCAAUGUGCUUAUCUUACUAGCGGUAUCGGUCACAUUAGUUCUUUUGCGAAUAUGUAUCGUCAUUUCGGAUUCUGUCACGCUAAGAAACUCCGAUCAUAGUCCUCUCCACAGCUCGCUGAGUAACUUGAAGCUUUUGCAUACGGGAACUGUGUAGGACCAUGUUUCGGUUCCGUAGGGUGUCGCUGGCAACACGCACUGCUUAAAGACCUUCGUCUUCAAACUGAAGUAUUUUCGAUAAUAAAAUGUGACGUAAUUUUCCGAACGCUGUCCAAAUGAGUUGGAUUCGUUGGUUGAUCUCUCGGUAUGUUUUUUUUUUCUUUUUUAUGGAUGAUAAUGGUAUAGCAAACCCGCCUGCGGUAUCGGUAUACGCUGGCAGAACAACACGGAGGAAUGACAAGUGAAGAUGAAGUAAGUUAGCUCGUCAUGAUCAAUCAUCGCCAUCAAAAAAUAACCACGAUGGUUUCCAGGGGGAACCGCAUGGAAGUCAACCUAUUAGGGUAUAUUUCUAGUAAUGUACAUAUACUUCAGCAGUUCAACAUAGUCAAUAAUUAUCGAAAUAAAAAUGUCUAAUAUUAAUACGGUCACUAUAAAUGUUGAUAGGUAAUUGAUUUAUUGAUAAGUUGAUAAAUAUUGAUUUAAACCAAUUAUUAACAAAAUUGUUAGAUAGACUAACUAAAAUAAUUGAUUUGGUUUUCAUUACAUGAGAUUUCACAACUUUUUGUAGUAAAAGAACAACGUUACGAGACUUGACAUUUUUUCACAUAUUAUAUGUUGUGGGAUCAUAUGAUACAAUGCACAGAAGAUGAUUAUUGCAAAAUUAUUAUAUAAUAUAAUAUAUUAUUUGCAUUAGCAAAUAAUUAUUUCUCAUUUAAAUACGCUUUACAUAAGUACUAAAUUUUAAAGUCUUAUUUAUGUACAAUAUAAAGAUAGCAAGGAAAUCACAAAAUUUACCAAAUUGCUACUGUCAGGACCGUGUUAUAUUGAUAAAUCAAGUUUAAAAUCAAUAAUAACAUUGAGUGUCUUUUUACGAGUAAGACAUACGAUUAGUUUUAAUUAUUAAACGAAACUUGAGUUACACAACAGCGGUUCGUGGAAUCAUUCCGCAUUCUGCCUAUCUAACUAGCUUCUCAAGUGAAAUAAAAUAUAGGUCAAACAGAUAUACAGAUUUUAUCUGUUUCAAAACAAUUCGAUGAAAAGGUAACCAAGUUUGUUGAAAUUAUCAUAAAAACUUUAAACUAAAUUGUAACAAAUGAAAACAUUAAACUAAUUAUUUAAUCUAUUUUUCACAUGAUGCACAUACAUAUAUUAGACAUCAGUCUUUUAGUCAAUCCAAUUAAAUGUAUGAUAAAAUUUUCAUUAGGUCCUACUGAAACAGGUAGUACCUUAGUACCUUAUAAAAGGUUACGAUUCCAAGCACCACUCAGUUUUAUUUAAUUAUUAACAAGUAAAUCUCAUUUUUAACUCUCGACUUAUUCAUAAACCGCAGAGCUUAAUUUAAAUUUCGUUUAUUUAUCUAUAAAGUUCUUAAAUGCAUACUAAUAUUGUACUUAAGAUCGAUUUAAUAUGGGUAAGAACCAUGGGAGGCAUAGAUAUAUAAACAAUAAAUACUAGUAAAGGCUUAUUAACGGUAACUUCUUGUCAGGGCAUUAUAAGUAUGUAAUUUCUUUAAAACAACUCUAUACAAUUUAUUAGACCAAAUUAUAAAUAAUUUUCGUAAUUAACUUGAUACUGAAUCCGCUUUAAUUUUAUAGGAGCUGAAAUCCUAAAUCACGGUAAAAUUGUUAUUUUUGUUAUUGCAAAUAACUACUAAAACGUGAUUUUUUCACUCUUUACUACUAAAUACCUACAGUCUAUUACUUUCGUCGGAUCAGUUUAUUGUUUAUAUUUUAAUUAAAUUCUAUGCAUUAUAUAGAAAUAAUUAUUAAAAUAUUAUUAAAGCUAACUUAAAAGGAUAUUAUUAAUAGGAUUAGGUAUGAUUUAACACCAAUGUAUUAUAUAAUUCGAAUUCCUUUAGGCAUUUUUUUAUGAAUGAUAAUGGAAUGGUGACCCUGCCUGCGCUAACGGUUUACGCUAGCAGGGCACCAGUAAGGGAUAAUAGGUGAAAAUGAAAAAGCAGGUCAGUUAGGUAAUCGUGAUGAAUAUACCUCGAAUACAGUACAAUGGUUUCUAGGGUGGCCACAGAGAGGUCAGCCUACCAGGCUAUAUUGCUAACCUUCAGCCAUUUAAGAAACAUGCAAUCCAUUCAACGCACAUCCUUAACAUCUAUAACUCGAUUCCCAUAGUAAAAACACCAAGAGUUUAAUGAUUUUUAGGAUUCCUUACAAGAAGGUACAAAGAAAUAUUUAUAAUGUGUAUUUGUCCGUCUGUACAUAGUUCAGCAACUACUAAUGCUAUGGAUUUAAAAUUUGGAAUAAUUUUACUACAAUUAGUGUUGUUACAAAUAGAAAAGUAAUUGAAAGAAUUUUAUUUCCUUUGCUAAGGACUACAAAAGGAGUUAUUAAUAAUUUCAAAACACUAGUCCAAUCAUAUGAAAGGGCUACAUCUACAACUUAUUUUUGCUGUCAAGAUAUGUAGCCACAGUUAUGGCCUAGAUACGGAAUUCCUAAGUUAAAUAACAAUUAUAAUUAUUAUCUAUUUCAAAUAAAAAGUAUAAUUAGAAGGUUAUUUUAUAUAAUAUCUAUAUGCUUUACUUAGUAAAUAGAGGGAGAUGUUAAAAUUUAGAAAUUAUAAAUCCUAGUACUAUGUUUAAAAAAAUCCCUGCGUUUGUCAAUGGAUUUUUGGAUGUAAUUGCGACCUUGUAACAAAUUCAUAUUGGUUUUGUAGACAAUAAUUGCUUUUAUUUCUCUUGGUAUUUCAGAGCACUUUCUAAAAGAACAACUUGUGUAGAACAUAUUUAAAUAAUAUGAUAAUAUUAUUUAAAUAUAUUGUAAAGAAUAUGAUAAUAUAUAUUUAUAUAUAUAGUUCAAAUAUUUUUUAUAUAAAAAAGGACAAAAAACUUUUAGAGAGACUAUUUUAUCUACGGAACGCUCAUCGAGUAAAUUCUGAUUUAUAAUGUCAUUUUUUUAACCUAUCUCUUAAUCUAAUAUUUAUUACUAUUAUUAUUUAUAUAAGGGAUCUUAAUAAGUGCAAUAAAUGUCAAAACAAUAUUAUUUAAAUUUAUGUCUACUUGUUCGGGAUCACACCAAAAUUACUGCUCCAAAUUGAAUGCGAUUUUCACUGUUGUGUUCCUGAAGGUCUCUAUUGUCUUCAUAUUUAUUAUGCACAAUAAGAAGUUUAUUAUUACUAUUUAUUAUAAGGUCUAACUUAGUUUUGUACUAAGCUUUUUUUUUAUACCACGAAGAUGGCAUACAAGCUUACGGGCUAUAAUAUUUGUUAAAGUUGUUAAUGUUUUUAUAUAAAUAAAUGUAAUUUCAUUCUCAAGUGUUAAACGAAGCGUGUUUUUACGAGAAUCGGGUUACUAUACAUAUAUAACAUAUAUAUAUAUAUAUAUAUACAAAAUGUUAUAUUAGUAGAAUAGUUUAUUUAUUUAUUUAAGGACAACCAACAAAGCAUACAUUUAUAUCUACUUAAAAUACAAUUAUAAAAUGCUGCCUCAAUUAAAGGCCGCCACGACAUGCGUAUUUAUAAUAUAUUAUUAUUAGGAUAAAAAUUUAUAAAUACUACAAUACUAGUUAUACAAUAAAUAGACUACAGUAAUACUUUGGAUUUGAAAGAUUUGUACACUUAUAAUCUAUACAUAUGUGCAAUGAUACAUGCCAUGCUGUUAUUAAGCUGAUUAAUUAAUACCUAACGGUAUGAAUAUCAACCAGACUUACCCACGCUGAAUAAGCAUUCAUUGAAUUCUAUCCAGUGGUUCAAACCUUAUCAUAUUGUAAAGCUAUACGUUCAACGUAAGUAAUUUAAUCUCAUUUGUAAUUUAAAACAACAACAAUCAUUGUUAUUACGCUGCAUAAUAUUUUCUUUGUCACUGAAAUAAUUAUAACAUUUUUUUUUCCCAGUAAUUUUAUCGUGUAUGGUUAUACUCUAUUACUAUUCGCACAAGAAGGUGACGGGUAUUAUUACAUCUGAGAAUUAUAUUAUAAACCAUAUUUUAAUGAAGUACUUUUAUAAUCAUAUAUAAAUUGUAGCCAAUAUAGGUAUAGUUAUAGAAUGUGGAGGCUCGAGAUAAAGACACUAGUCAAACAGUAGGUACAUGAAAACAUACCUCACUAUCUAUCUUAAUUAAGGAUCUGAUCGUACUAUGAUCUCAUGGAGCGGACGCGGCUAAGAAAACACUAUCCAUAGUAGAAAAAACAAUUUAGGAUGCAACUACAACAAUGCACUGGAUUUAAUACCCACUUUAGAUAAUAUCGCAAUAUAUACAUAUAUGUAAUAUGGACCUUUGGCACUUGGCUCUCACCUACCUAACCCACUUGACUUGACCUGAAGAUAGAUUUUUAAAGUUAUUUAUAGACACCUAGAUACAUAACAAAGUAACUACGAUAAGAAAACGGGAUUUACUUGAAAUGACUAUGUCACAAGCUGUGUUAAAAGAAAAAAUAAAUCAUUAUAAUAAUAAACGAUAAUUUUUUUUUUUUAUUAAAGUAAAUGGAGAAUGAAAUUAACAAUGACUAAAAUUGUUACGUUUUAAGAAAUACAAUGUGACGGAUGUUUUCGUAGUACUAUUUUAUAACUGUAAUUAUGUUGUUCAAAAAAUAGGUCAUUAUAUGAACAAGUAUACCUGUCAAAAAUGUUCAAUUAUAAUAGGAUUAACUUUCUUGAAUUACUUUAUUAUUUCUUUGCAAAUUGGUGAAAUAUUCUAUAUAAGUCUCUGUACAAACAGCGAACAACGGCCUCAUUUAGUUAAAAAGAACUCGGCUGUAGCCUCGUUCUUUUAAAAUUACUGGAGAAUUUCUCGGUUUUAUCUUAUAUUUCCAAUAUUAGUCAACUGUCAUAUACUUACUUUAUUUCAGGCCUCAACAAUAAUGUACUAUUAAUCCAAACAUGGGUUUAAGGUUUUAUAUUAAUACCUUAUUUUAAGAAUAUUGUUAAAUAAUUUCAACUCUUAUGGGUCUUUAUUAUCUACUAGUUAUUAGGUUUUACAUUAUGGCAAUAUGAAAAGACUAUAUGAGCGUGGAUGUUUGUAAUUUUUAUAGCAUAAUUUAUAUAGACAACUUCUACCCAGGUAAAUGUAUUUUAAUUAAAAGAAAUUCAUUUUA